CCCUUUGAUUACUUGAGACUUCGGUUGAUUGUUUUUCUUUUUGGGAUAGUGGCAAACGGGUGAGUAACAUGUGGAUUAUCUGCCCUGAAGACGGGAAUAGCUCAUCGAAAGAUGGGGUAAUACUCGAUAGCCUUACAUUCUUUUAGUUUGUAAGUAAAGCUUUUGCGCUUCAGGAGGAGUCCGCAUCCUAUCAGCUUGUUGGUGAGGUAAUGGCUCACCAAGGCUAAGACGGGUAGCUGGCGUGAGAGCGCGGUCAGCCACCAUGGGAACUGAGACACGGUCCAUACUCCUACGGGAGGCAGCAAUUAGGAAUCUUGCGCAAUGGGGGCAACCCUGACGCAGCGACACAGUGUGGAGGAGGAAGGUCUUCGGAUUGUAAACUCCUUUUAUGAGGGAAGAAUAGAUGACGGUACCUCAUGAAUAAGCACCUGCUAACUACGUGCCAGAAGCAUCGGUGAUGCGUAGGGUGCGAACGUUAUCCGGAUUUAUUGGGCGUAUAGAGAAGCGUAGGUGUUUUUGUAAGUCUUUAGUUAAAUACCACGGCUCAACCGUGGAGAAGCUUUGGAAACUACAAAAAUUGAGACAGGAAUGGGCGAAUGGAAUUCCCAGUGGAGCGGUGAAAUGCGUUGAUAUUGGGAGGAACAUCGGUGGCGAAGGCGAUUCGCUGGUCCUUGUCUG
RNAcentral lists this ribosomal RNA (678 nucleotides) under uncultured bacterium. RNAcentral describes it as "bacterial SSU rRNA". It matches the Rfam family "Bacterial small subunit ribosomal RNA", at positions 62 to 742 of the family's 1533-position model. The record is from RNAcentral.